AUGGCCGGAUCUUGGAACUGGGCGGAUCUACCGGACGGGCCGACGGCGCUCAUCGCCGACCGCGUCCUCGCCUUCGACGUCGCCGACUACGUUCGCUUCCGCGCCGUGUGCCUCCCGUGGCGGCGGUGCUCAGCGGGCCCCCGCGAGCACGGCAGCCUCGACCGCCGGUUCCAUCCCCGGCGGUGGACCAUGCUCCGGGAGGAGCUCGCGGCGCCCAACCGCCGCUCCUUCCUGAACACCUCCACCGGCGAGUGUGUCCAGGUGGACCUCCCGGAGCUCCAUGACCACACUGUGCUCGCCCUCACCCCCGAGGGCCUCCUCAUUCUGCUCCACAAGCUGCAGCGCACCACCGUCCGCCUGCUCAACCCAUUCACCGGCCACCUCACGGAACUCCCGCCGCUCACCACGCUGCUAUCUCCACCGCACCACCACAUGCUUAUGUCUGGCAUUGACCGUUUGGAAAGGGUGUUCGCAGCGUGGGGCUCCGGCGUUGCCAAUGAUGAUUCCACAGUUGUGCUCUGCUUCUACAAGCUGGGCGUGCUUGGCAUGGCCAAGCCGAGCGAUGACCACUGGACGUUGGUGAAAUGCAGAUUUAAUUCAAUGGGAGCACCCUUAAUGCUGGCAGGCCGCUUCUACUGCGUUUGCUUGCACAAUGGUCUCAUGGUGCUGGAAACCAGCGCGGAUCAGCCACCACGGCUGGAGAUGGCCUCCCAGCUGAAUUUCAGUGCCUCUACGAUUGGUUAUAGUGUGCACCUGGUGAACAAUUGUGGGGAGCUCAUGCUGGUGCACCGUUGGUGUGGACCAUUGUCACCGGUCAACAGAGUGGGUUAUUGGUACGAUGCAUAUCGAGUGGAUUUGGACAAGCGGAAGAUAUUCCCGGUCAACAGCUUGGGCGGCGCCGCAGGGCGUGUGGUGUUCAUGGGCAUGCAUUGCUCUCUAUUGGUGUCUCUAGAGAAUUUCCCCUCCGGUUCCAUAACUGCUGACACCAUCUACUUAGGCUUUGACAUUGCUGAAAGAGCGGAGUUUAAAGUUGGAGCAUAUCAUCUCGCAGAUGAAAGCAUCGAAGGCACCAGCAGAUAUCAGGGUCGCUUGGUGCCACGGCCGCAUACUCUUGUUGACUGUCUAUCUUUAGCCAAUACUGUCUGA
This 1146-nucleotide ribosomal RNA is filed under the name Triticum aestivum (bread wheat). Its description in RNAcentral is "partial small subunit ribosomal RNA". The record is from RNAcentral. Lineage: Eukaryota; Viridiplantae; Streptophyta; Magnoliopsida; Poales; Poaceae.